AGUGAACGCUGGCGGCAGGCCUAAUACAUGCAAGUCGAACGGACGGACAGUAAGCGUUCUCCUCUACGGGUAGCGAGUGGCGGAUGGGUGACGCAUGCAUAGCCUUCCUAUUUUACGGGGGGAACUUCGUGGGACCACAUCUGCUACCAGAGCAUAUGUUCUACCGGUGGAUUCAGGGGAUAUUCGCAGUUUUCGUGUCACUUUGAGCUGGUGCCGGAUUAGCUAGUUGGCAGGGUAAAGGCCCACCAAGGCAACGAUACGUAGCUGGUCUGAGAGGAUGAUCAGCCACACAGGAACUGAGACACGGUCCAGACUCCUACGGGAGGCAGCAGUAGGGAAUAUUGGACAAUGGGCGCAAGCCUGACCGAGCAAUACCGCGUGAGUGAUGAAGGCCUUCGGGUUGUAAAGCCCUGUUAUUAGGAAAGAAAAACUGCAGGAGAAUACCCCGCUGUUCUGACGGUACCCAAAGAGAAAGCACCGGCUAACUACGUG
Molecule: ribosomal RNA, 492 nt
Filed under: uncultured bacterium
Lineage: Bacteria
Description: partial 16S ribosomal RNA
Rfam family: Bacterial small subunit ribosomal RNA
Source: RNAcentral